RNAcentral lists this ribosomal RNA (847 nucleotides) under uncultured bacterium. RNAcentral describes it as "bacterial SSU rRNA". It matches the Rfam family "Bacterial small subunit ribosomal RNA", at positions 590 to 1438 of the family's 1533-position model. The record is from RNAcentral.
UGAANUUAAAGGCUGUGGCUUAACCAUAGUNCGCUUUGGAAACUGUUUAACUNGAGUGCAGAAGGGGAGAGUGGAAUUCCAUGUGUAGCGGUGAAAUGCGUAGAUAUAUGGAGGAACACCGGUGGCGAAAGCGGCUCUCUGGUCUGUAACUGACGCUGAGGCUCGAAAGCGUGGGGAGCGAACAGGAUUAGAUACCCUGGUAGUNCACGCCGUAAACGAUGAGUGCUAGGUGUUAGGCCCCUUCCGGGGCUUAGUGCCGCAGCUAACGCAUUAAGCACUCCGCCUGGGGAGUACGACCGCAAGGUUGAAACUCAAAGGAAUUGACGGGGGCCCGCACAAGCGGUGGAGCAUGUGGUUUAAUUCGAAGCAACGCGAAGAACCUUACCAGGUCUUGACAUCCCGAUGCCCGCUCUAGAGAUAGAGUUUUACUUCGGUACAUCGGUGACAGGUGGUGCAUGGUUGUCGUCAGCUCGUGUCGUGAGAUGUUGGGUUAAGUCCCGCAACGAGCGCAACCCUUAUUGUUAGUUGCCAUCAUUCAGUUGGGCACUCUAGCGAGACUGCCGGUAAUAAACCGGAGGAAGGUGGGGAUGACGUCAAAUCAUCAUGCCCCUUAUGACCUGGGCUACACACGUGCUACAAUGGCUGGUACAACGAGUCGCAAGUCGGUGACGGCAAGCUAAUCUCUUAAGGCCAGUCUCAGUUCGGAUUGUAGGCUGCAACUCGCCUACAUGAAGUCGGAAUCGCUAGUAAUCGCGGAUCAGCACGCCGCGGUGAAUACGUUCCCGGGCCUUGUACACACCGCCCGUCACACCACGAGAGUUUGUAACACCCGAAGUCGGUGAGGUAA